RNA transcript from Athalia rosae (coleseed sawfly), 4558 nucleotides. It is a transcript of the gene named acidic phospholipase A2 PA4, with no coding region annotated. The record is from RefSeq and is a predicted model, not a curated record. Lineage: Eukaryota; Metazoa; Arthropoda; Insecta; Hymenoptera; Athaliidae. The transcript has 5 exons.
UCAUUAUUUCAUAUUUUGCGUGAUAAAAUAAUUGUUAAUGAACGCGUAGCGUGUGCUCAUUGAAUUCUAAUAGGGGGUUUCGAUAUCUUUUUUUUCAUCAGACAAUUAUUUUUUCACAUUAUACAAAUAUUCCCUUUGAUAUACACGAUAAUUGAAUUAACUCCAUACUUGAGAUAAGCGUAUUUGUUCGAAGCUGCCAGAUGAAGAAAAAAAAAAUCAUCUAAAAAUAACGCAGUAUACUUGUAAGGUGUAAACAUGCAGAAGCCCAAGGUGUUCAACUACAGUUGUAGUCAAGGCUCUUCUUUUACGCUUGAAAUUCAGAAAAAAUUUAUGCAUAAAGAUACUGCAUCUGCACAUAAUUCCGAUGAGACAUCAUACGAAUUGAAUAAAUUAUUCUUACACCAGACGACCGCGCGGCAUUUUCCGAUAUUAGGGAGUCGACGAUGACGGGGACCAUUUAUUACUUCAUUCAAAUUAUUGAAAUGUCAGCGUUCGUAAAAGCCGGCUCAAAGUUAAUUUCGUCAGGAACCACUGUCCACACGUAUCCGAAUCACUACUCGAUCGACAGCGUUUUUUUUUUUUGUGCGAAAUGGUACCAGACGUGUGAAGAGAAUAAAAUUAAGAUGCGAUACAAAUGAUUUGCAAUGAUAAUCGGGUCACGCAGGCCGAAUAACCUUUUGCGAUUGCGAUCCCUUAUUGCACGAAGAUCGUAAUCUUCUUUAAUUUUCGAAUGGAUGCCCUCGCUGUGAACUUACGGUUGUAACGCAUGAGUUUUUCGUCACGUUAUACGGUCGGGCAGAAGCCACGCAACCCCCGCGACGAUCAUGAAGAUUUACUGACUUCGGAAACACGUGAAAUAUAAACGCUUCGUAGAGGGGCAUCCCUAUAAUGGUCACAACAUCACUGCCUGUUACGCAAAAAAUUGAAAAAAUAAUUCUCAUCGUACAACAAAUGUCCGGUUGUACGAGCAAUACCUGUAUGGCAUCAUGGACAAUAUUUGCACAUACAAGAUCGGCGACGCGUCGACCUUUACAAUUAAAAUAGUACGGACGACGACUUGACUCACGCCUGACGAGGACGAACGGUGCAGAUUCAUCUCACCGAUUACGCAAAUAAACAAGCUAGAGGCAAAUUACCGGGAAUCGAUCGUAAUUGUAAGAAAGUUUUUGUCAAAUCAUGUUGAUUUUUAUUUUCUCCCCUCGUCAUUUUUUUUUUUUUUUUAACAAUAUUUGUUGCGGCGAUGAGUGCGGAACUUCUUGAAGAAUAUGCAACGAUGUUAUCACCGUGUCGUGUAGUUCGGACGCGCGCCCUGGCACAGGUUGUAUACCGUGUAAUACGUUAAUGCGACAGGUUGCAUGUUUUGCUGAAUCGAAGCUUGUUGACCCAGAUCUAAAUUAUUGCGCGAUCCGAAGAGAGCCCUUCAUUGUAAUUUCACGAGUGUAAAUCAUUUCAUGCACGAUUAUGUGUGUAUACGUAUACCUAUAUACCAAUAGGUAUACCGUGCAUGAUCCAUCCUUAUUUAUUUAUUUAAUCUCGAGGCUAACCGUUGACCCAAUGAUCUAGAUCUAGAUUCUAGAUCGGAUUCCUUGUACUAUGAUUGUAGACCCUAAACUGCAACGCUGUGCAAUCGCUGAACGUCAAUAUCGUUGAUUUUGUUUAUAUUUUUGUCGUUUAUUGCUGCGAUCAGAGACAGCUUCCUUGAUCAAUCGUUGAAAUUAUAAACCAUUCGAUUUUCCAAAUAAUCUGUGACCUCGAGGUUUUUUCGUUUUUUCAUCGAGCUAUUCAUUUUGUGUACCUUCUCAUUCACCUUCCAAGAUCAACGUUGUUUAUGAAUUCAUAUUUGCAUUAAACUUGAGAGAAACAUCGCCUCUCAUCCGACUCUUUUUUAUGAAUAGGUGUGCAAUAAUAAUAAUAAUAAUUAAUAUCGUUAUCGUUACUAUAAAAUUAUUAUUAUUCAGUUUUAUUUUUGUGAGAAGCGAGGUGCUGCGUUACUCGCGUAAGCAAAAUUUUUCCGCUGUAACUUGCGUGGACGACAAAUUAUUUUGUUUUUAUACUUCUACUUUUCGGUUGAACGUUUACGAUCAUCAUUAUUAUGUUUAAUCUCCGGUAAUUUAGGACUACUUGUUUCAAUUCGCUCACCACCGGACUGUGGGGAUCGUUAUAACAAAAUAAACAUAGGUGUACUUUAUACAUGUAUAAUAUGUAUACGUAUACGUAUUGUAAGUUUGAUUACUUAAUAGCUCUCGUUAAUGAGAACCAUUAAGUAUAUCUAUAUUUCACAGAUUAAUUGACCCCACAUUCAUAGAUUAUUGUACCCAAUUUAUACCUAAUUCACAUAAAACCGAUCCUCCCCUAUUCACGAACAACGUUUAUUUCAUUCCGAGAAGAGAACGAAGCUUUGAAAUUUGUUGAAGCUAUAAUUUUACAGUGGGACAAAAGUUAUGUGGCCCCGCGAUUUUCAUCGCAUUGAUCAAAUGAUUCCCCGACUGAUUUUGGGGUGCAUCGCGCUGAUCGUCUGCGUUCGCACGACGGAGGGUAGCGUCCUAGUCGCCGAUAACACGAUGUCUCGAAUGGUCGAGGUGAACGCAGGUGCUCCAUUUUGCGCCCUAUACAGCGACAGAGGUGUAAUACAGAGAAUGGUUCUGGGGGCUGAUCCGCGAAAGGUGCGUCAGAUGUCCGCAAACCUUGUCGCUGACCUCGAGGAAACGUGCAGGGAGUCAAGAAAUCGUGGAAAGAAUCAGGCACCGGGAGGGCUGAUUUAUCCCGGAACCAAGUGGUGCGGCCCGGGCAACAUCUCGGCGACUUACGAUGACCUCGGUCAUCAUGCGUCGGAGGACGCCUGUUGUCGAGAACACGACAAUUGCGCGGUGACUAUCGGUCCCGGGCAAUGUAUGGAUGGAAUUUGUAAUCAUUCGCCUAUAACGAGAUCGCAUUGCGAUUGCGACGCCAAAUUUCGAAGAUGUCUUCAGGGCCUGAACACCGAAGUUGCGAAUACACUCGGUGCUUUAUUUUUCAAUGUUGUACAGGUCACGUGCUUCAAAGAGAGACGACCCUGUUCUCAGUGGCAACGCUGCUACGAAUUUGAUCGGCCAGAGAUGUACCGGGGAAAAAAAGAACCCGGCCGAAGAUUCGGGAUGCGAUUGAAUCAACCGCGGUUUCAGUCAACCAUUGAAAAAAUUUUUUUGGCAAAAAUUCGGCUCUUGAUAGAAACGUGUUCGAAAAUCUUGUCGUUUCUGAAAUUUUAAAUCUCGUCUGAUUGAAAUGAAAUCUUUAUUUCGAAUAUUCGACCCUCCCGUACACGCCACCGAGGUCCUCAAAUUUUAUUCGACCAACGAAGCAACUCAAAAUGGAUUUCCCUCAACGGCUACGCGGAGGCAGAAUCGAACCGGAUUUGUUCACAGUACAAGUUUCGUCCGAGUGACAAAUACGUGCCGUUGAUGCCAAUAAGUAUAAAUAAAUGAAUUCGUAAGCAGCAAGGUGUAAACCCGCAAGAUUAACGAGGGGGAACAAUAAUAUCGCUCGAUUACAAACGGGUGAAAUUGUUCCGCAUCGUCAUCAUAAUAUAGAUAAGAUAAUAACGUCUUUCUUUAUUACGAUAUAUCUGCGGGAAAUGGAUAAUAUAUUCAACGAUUAUAACAUUUUAGCUUGACGAUCGAUGCGAUGUUUCAUACCAAUACCUAUGUCGAUAUCGUCGUCGCCGUCGAGGUUUUCACUGAGCAAUUCUAAUUUUUGUUAACUACUAAAAACAGAAAUUUAGUCUUUUUUGUUGCUGGUGGAGCGACGACUUAGAACAGCGCUAAGGUUGUAACGUUGAAAUAUAUAAGCAAUUGGACGUAAAAAAAAAAUGUGUUGAAAACUGAACAAAGUAUCAACAUAAUUCAAAAUUUACACCGAUAAUGCGUAAGUCUUACCGUAUGAAUGUAAAUCCUUAAUAUUGUGCGUGUAUGUAUAUAGAAAAUAUAUAUUAUUAUUAUUUAUAUGAUAAAACGAUGUGAUACAAACUGCGAUAACCAAAAACUAAUUAAAAGUUCAUGCCUAUAAAUCAGGUAUAUUUAUCUGAACAAUUUUAUAUACAUAAAUAUAUUCAAAUAUAUGUAUGCAUACGUUUACAUAUAUGUACAUAUGUUGCACGUUUGAACGUUAGAUUUUAGACGGGAUGAUUUUCUCUUUCUUUGUAUAGUAUCAACUAAUUAGUUAUUAUUUGUUGAUUACGUAAUGAUUGUUAAACUGCCUACGGUAACAAUGUUAAAAUCAUCAAAUAGUCAACUAUCUGCAUUUGUUACGUGAUGUGAUUUAACAUCACGCGGGUUGUAGUAAUUAAUUGUAAGGGACGAUGAUGUAUCGUACGAUAUGAUAUCGCCGCUUAAAUAUAUUCAAAUAAUCAAAAAUUAAUACUAAUUGUAUAGAUAAUCAAAAGUUAAUUCUACAAAUACGGUAACGCAUGGUACCGGAUAUUGACAAUUUCAAUGGUGUGUAAUAUAAUUAUUAUUGUAGUUAUACAUGCGACGGGUACAAAAUUGUAAGUUAAAAAUUAAUCGAAUAAAUAUUAUAUACUGUA